This 239-nucleotide unclassified non-coding RNA is filed under the name Hevea brasiliensis (rubber tree). Lineage: Eukaryota; Viridiplantae; Streptophyta; Magnoliopsida; Malpighiales; Euphorbiaceae. The record is from RNAcentral.
GACCACGACCACAACGAGAAGCGCGACGACCGAACUCAGCACCCCACCCACCGCGAGGGGGACCAGAGUGCCGUUAUAGGUCUGCCCGAUGGCCGUCCCCACCCCGAUUCCGAUCAGGGUUGUGAUCGNGGCGGUUCCGGCGAUAUGUCCCUGAGGCUCCAUCGCAAGCGCGGAGAAAUUGGAGAACAUCAAUCCGAACGAGAACAGGCUGGCGGUGGACAGGACCAUGAACAGAGGCA